AUCUGGUUUUCAGUUUCUCGUAACGAUGUCGGACAUCCAGACGUUACAGGACAUGAGUUUACCAAAAGAGAAAACGUACGGAUAAUGGUCAAUAUUCUGAGUAGAAUUAAUCAUACCUAUCUAUGUUUUCUACAUUAAAAGAACCAGCUCCCACGAGUCUUUAUCAUCCAUCAUCUCCAUCUGCAAUCACCUCGAUGUAAACAAACUUGAAUCAUCAAAAAGUGAAAGGAAAUGUUUUUAGCGAUCUGCAUUUAAUAUUUAAUUAUAGCAGUUUUUCAACAAUGAUUCAAAUUACGGCAACGCUGGUUUGUGUACAAAGUGCCGUUUUCCUUUGUAGCGAGGUAGUAGUAGUUGAAUGCUUGACUACGUUUUCCAAUCCGUCGCAUCCGGAGCAUCGAAUAUCACAGAGAAAUAUAGCCUGAAAAACCGUCCAUAUAUACUCUCGAGAAACGUAGUGCAGGUAGAGUUGGAACCGUAGACGGGAUUGAUGGCAGUGGACUUUACAGUUCAAAUAGUGCCACGGUAACCGCGCUGGCAAUCGACAAAAACAUAAGCAGCGAAUCGACAUCGCUGAAUACCAACAAUCAACUCAAGGUAUUUUUUGUGAGUCCCUGACCACAAAUACCCCGCCCACUUACCGCGGAGUUAUGGUUAAGUACUGCUACAAAAUUACCGCCACCACCCAACGAGCUGUUUCCACAGUGCAGGCCCUGCAUGCCCCGUUACGAGUACUUCAAUUGCCACCGAUUAACUACAGUGACGAAACAAUCACCCUGAACGACUUAACUAACGAGGAGCUCGCCCCGAGAAAUUUUUUCCUGGGCAAAAAAACCCUAUCAAACAUUGAGUAUGGUUUACAGUACAGAGCAUAACCGCCAGAAGACGAUCGAACUUCUGAACGUGAUUUCAAACUAACUCGGCAAAGUGGGUAGGAACAUUACACUCCAGCUGUGGCACUAUAAAACGCGUGCACCUUUCGAUAAAUUUACUAUGUGAAGAACGAGAAAUACCAAACUCCACAUCUACAAACAAACACACAGGAGAAAGAUGUACCAAGCGGAAGUAGAAGUAGGAAAAAUCUUCCCAAAAUAAUCGAUUGCACUGCGAUGAACAGAUCCGGAUAACCAGCAGUACAAAAACCAAUGGCGCAAUGCAAACUGAAUUGUUUGGACUGUUUCGAAUCACGAUAUGUCGGUUAAAUAUUCUGAUAGGAACCCCUGCUUCUGAAUUUUGCACAUUGUUCGAAGUUGUCGGUAUGCUGAAGGCUUGCCUCCCAUAGUGUGAAUAAAAGACGGAAAGGCAAACCCUGCCAAAAACUCAUAAGUACAUCUUUCCGAUACCACUUUUUAACAGGAAAUGCCGUCUAGAAGUCGUCCCAGUCAGAUGCCAUCAAGUCAUCAUCUCACCUGCUAUUUUCUUUCUUCGAACAUACCAACGAUGCGAGUAGAAAAUAUCAUAAUAUUUACUGAUGCAACAGUAGGGUCACAUUAUAAAGGAUUACAAUAAGUUGUUUAUCAAUUGACCGUUUUUGUUAUAACAUAAAUGUUAAAAAUUAAUUAGUGUUUUUCAUAGGAGCAAUUGCAAUUUUUCAUUUCAUAGUUGAAUUCAAGAGACACGAACGCCACAAACGUGGUAAAGUCUAUAAUUGGAGAAAAACAAAAUAGUUGAAUUCAAAAUCAGGAUUAAUUUAAGAUUUCAGGAUGUUCAAUUCAGGUUUGGAAGAUAAUUUUCUAAUUAAUUAAAUUUCUAAUUCCUUAAUCAAAAUCCGUAGACAAAUCAAUAUCCAAUGUUGCUUGUCCAACAUUUGAAUUUAUUGAUCCGUUGUUUUUUUUGUAUACAAAAUUGUGAUAUGGAUCAGUUCUCUUUAAAAUGUUUUUGGAAAUUGAUAGAUAAAAAAAUUGACUAGGAAGUGCAGAUUUAAUUUCCAAACAUUACUAAAAGUUUAUGUAAAACAUUGCAGGAAAAGUUUAUGAACGUAUAAAUAAUGCAAACGAGUUUUCUAGGCCGAUCUAUUCAUGCACGUUUGCAUCUCAUGAAGCUCUCAAAUGUUAACCA
Uranotaenia lowii is the source of this 2055-nucleotide long non-coding RNA. RefSeq lists it as uncharacterized. The record is from RefSeq and is a predicted model, not a curated record. The transcript has 5 exons. Lineage: Eukaryota; Metazoa; Arthropoda; Insecta; Diptera; Culicidae.